Molecule: ribosomal RNA, 514 nt
Filed under: uncultured bacterium
Lineage: Bacteria
Description: partial 16S ribosomal RNA
Rfam family: Bacterial small subunit ribosomal RNA
Source: RNAcentral
GAUGAACGCUGGCGGCGUGCCUAAUACAUGCAAGUCGAGCGAAUGGAUUAAGAGCUUGCUCUUAUGAAGUUAGCGGCGGACGGGUGAGUAACACGUGAGUAACCUGCCCAUAAGACUGGAUAACUCCGGGAAACCGGGGCUAAUACCGGAUAACAUUUUGCACCGCCUGGUUCGAAAUUGAAAGGCGGCUUCGGCUGUCACUUAUGGAUGGACCCGCGUCGCAUUAGCUAGUUGGUGGGGUAACGGCUCACCAAGGCAACGAUGCGUAGCCGACCUGAGAGGGUGAUCGGCCACACUGGGACUGAGACACGGCCCAGACUCCUACGGGAGGCAGCAGUAGGGAAUCUUCCGCAAUGGACGAAAGUCUGACGGAGCAACGCCGCGUGAGUGAUGAAGGCUUUCGGGUCGUAAAACUCUGUUGUUAGGGAAGAACAAGUGCUAGUUGAAUAAGCUGGCACCUUGACGGUACCUAACCAGAAAGCCACGGCUAACUACGUGCCAGCCGCCGCGGUAA